AUUUUCACUCGGCGGUGGUCCAGGCGCACAGCGGCGGCGUGCAGGGCGUCGAGGCGGCGGUGCAGCGCGGCGGUGCGGUGGCCCAGCGCGGCCGCCUGGCCCUCGAGCUCGCCGAAGAUGUCCCCGGCGCAGCGCGACAGGGGCCUCCUGUGGGCAGAAGUGCGGACAAGGAGCUUUGUUCCUCCCCCAUGUCACCCUCCCAUGGCCCACUUGCUAGCCAUGGUAAGGGGAAAGAGGGGUGGAGGCCGCAGGAAGGCAUGUAGUGAACUGGACCUCUGGUGGAAAGGCAUCACCCACGCUGGGCUUGACUCUCAGCAUCAGGGUCCUGUCAACCCUUCAGUGAGACUUUUUCAGAAGAAUCCCUUUUAAAGUGACCUCAAGCUGACCUUCCUGCUGCGGAUUCCACAUAUGGUAUCUGAGACUCACACAGUGUGGUUGGAAGAUAGCACAGUGACCUCCCAGGCACGGCCCUCUGCCAACCCUCUACUGGCUGCCCUAGGAUGCUGGCCUUCCUCCGAUGGGAUUCAGGCCCAGUCUGCUGUUGGCCAGGAGCAGCCAGCAAGCUCCCUGGGAGGCCUGGAGAAGCCCUUCUCACUCAGCUUGGUGUUCGAUGCCAGUGCCCCCGCCCAUUGUGGGGUGAGGGUGGGACUCUCAGC
RNAcentral lists this long non-coding RNA (656 nucleotides) under Theropithecus gelada (gelada). RNAcentral describes it as "lncRNA (ENSTGEG00000016922.1)". Lineage: Eukaryota; Metazoa; Chordata; Mammalia; Primates; Cercopithecidae. The record is from RNAcentral.